This 497-nucleotide ribosomal RNA is filed under the name uncultured bacterium. Its description in RNAcentral is "partial 16S ribosomal RNA". It matches the Rfam family "Bacterial small subunit ribosomal RNA", at positions 28 to 507 of the family's 1533-position model. The record is from RNAcentral.
GAUGAACGCUGGCGGCGUGCCUAAUACAUGCAAGUAGAACGCUGAAGCUUGGUGCUUGCACCGAGCGGAUGAGUUGCGAACGGGUGAGUAACGCGUAGGUAACCUGCCUGGUAGCGGGGGAUAACUAUUGGAAACGAUAGCUAAUACCGCAUAACAGUAGAUAUUGCAUGAUAUCUGCUUGAAAGGUGCAAAUGCAUCACUACCAGAUGGACCUGCGUUGUAUUAGCUAGUUGGUGAGGUAACGGCUCACCAAGGCGACGAUACAUAGCCGACCUGAGAGGGUGAUCGGCCACACUGGGACUGAGACACGGCCCAGACUCCUACGGGAGGCAGCAGUAGGGAAUCUUCGGCAAUGGGGGGAACCCUGACCGAGCAACGCCGCGUGAGUGAAGAAGGGUUUCGGAUCGUAAAGCUCUGUUGUAAGAGAAGAACGAGUGUGAGAGUGGAAAGUUCACACUGUGACGGUAUCUUACCAGAAAGGGACGGCUAACUACGUG